AAUAGUGUGAGCACCUGGAAAAUUUCACUCAGAAAAUUGUAACACAAAUCAAACUUUGCAGGUACAGAUAUUAAAGACAGUCUUUGAGAUACCAUGCAAACAACCAAUUGUUAUUAGAUAAUGACAUUUCCGGUUUUACCAGAAAGCAAGGUGAGGUCCUUCAGAUCAAGCCCCUGCCUGGAAAAGAAGGCCAGAAGACUAGUGAUGUUUGAAAACGGCGGAGGGAUGUUAGCUAAGGCUUCUGAUGUUCUCGAGAUUUUUCCAUCUCUGCGUCCCACUGGAACUCUCCAGUAAGGUCCUCCCUGUCAAAAUUAAAGUGUGUAUAUGUAUUAAAGUUGAACUAUUCCUCUUCAACUUGUGGAUUUUCUGAUAAUGAAGCGACUCUUUUUCAGGUAAAGGAAAGGUAGUCAGCUUCUAGGACUUACAAUCGACACGAUUGAAUCUCUAGCAACCAAAGCAAUAAUGUCAGCACAGGAAACAACACCAGGACAUUCUUGUUCCAAUAGAGUUUUUACUCUGUCAAUGAAAUCAUAGCCUCUUAC
RNAcentral lists this long non-coding RNA (542 nucleotides) under Carica papaya (papaya). RNAcentral's name for it is "long non-coding RNA (CPAP_LNC000986)". Lineage: Eukaryota; Viridiplantae; Streptophyta; Magnoliopsida; Brassicales; Caricaceae. The record is from RNAcentral.